UACGUAGGGUGCAAGCGUUAAUCGGAAUUACUGGGCGUAAAGCGUGCGUAGGCGGUGAUGUAAGACAGUUGUGAAAUCCCCGGGCUCAACCUGGGAACUGCAUCUGUGACUGCAUCGCUGGAGUGCGGCAGAGGGGGAUGGAAUUCCGCGUGUAGCAGUGAAAUGCGUAGAUAUGCGGAGGAACACCAGUGGCGAAGGCGGCGACCUGGGCCAAUAUUGACGCUGAGGUGCGAAAGCGUGGGGAGCAAACAGG
This 253-nucleotide ribosomal RNA is filed under the name uncultured bacterium. RNAcentral describes it as "partial 16S ribosomal RNA". It matches the Rfam family "Bacterial small subunit ribosomal RNA", at positions 524 to 776 of the family's 1533-position model. The record is from RNAcentral.